This 1159-nucleotide long non-coding RNA is filed under the name Coturnix japonica (Japanese quail). RNAcentral describes it as "lncRNA (ENSCJPG00005020595.1)". Lineage: Eukaryota; Metazoa; Chordata; Aves; Galliformes; Phasianidae. The record is from RNAcentral.
GUUAAACAUUACUGUUGGAAGUAAUUCCGAAUUUGCACAAGACUGAACCCUAAGAAUAGUUCUGAAUUGGCUUUACAAAUGCAUGUGUUCUUUCUGAGAUUGAAAGAGGAGGAAGAAGAAAGGGAGGAAGAAAGAAAGACCGCAGGAACUGAAAUCAAAAAAGACAAUCCCUUCGUCACCUACAUAAAACCCUCUAAGUAUUGAAAUGGAGUCGAAAGAUAUUUGUUAAGGCUGUGAAGUAUAAAGACAGCAAUUAUUUCUUUGGAAAGUGUCCCUUUAAGGACUUAAGUGAAAGCCUGGAGGAGGCUGCCUCCAGCCAGCAGGAAUUGCCCCUGGCUUUACCAGGAGUGAGAGAAAGAAAGGAAGCAAUUACCCAGUGAACAGUGGUGUAUUAAGGAGCUGCAUUGUGUUUGCAAAACCAGGAUCUCUCCAGCUGGGUGAGCGGAGGGGAUGGUCUCCUGGGGAGGCAGUCAGUGGGGCCAGGACAGCCGGGCAGGUGCAGGAGAUGGAGGCAGAGAACAUCUGGAGGAGCUUUUUGGAUAACACCACUAGGCUUGGAAAGGAGAAUUUCUCAAAGAACUAGUCUCUGGAUGGAUGCUGAAGGGAGUAGGGAGGGGAGUUCUCUCCAACAUCCUUUGUGCAAUAACCAUGGAUGCCAGGGGAAUAUGUUGAGGAAGCAAUCACAAAGACUUGUAUGCUCUGUAAAUAGCAUCUCCUUCAGCGACUGUUGGAGAAAGGAUAUUGGGCUAAAUGAACCACUGAUCUAAUCACUGAGUCUUGUGUUCUUCAAGCAGUCAUCUGUCCUUCCCAGAGUAUAAAUCAGAGUCCUGGAAAGUAAUUAUUACUCUAAAAAGGUUGGAUGUGCCCUCCGUAUCUAUCUGGUAUCCCAAUACAGCUGCAUCUCCAGCUGAGACCCUGGCAGAGCUUGCAGCCAGAUGCAAUACUGGCUGAACUAGAAGAAAGCAUCUCAAGUCAAUCCAGCUUGCAUUCUGCUGUGAGUCUCACCUUUUUGGUGUAAUCUUUUCAUUUAUUCAUCCUCCUUAUUGUGACAGAGCUCUCGCUGUUGCCUAUAGGUCUUAUAACUAUCAUAAUUCACACUGUCGCCUGGUACCCAAAUGGUUAAAUGCAUUUGGCUUUGCUGUCCUCCUCAGUCCCUGUA